CCAGUCACAGGACACUGAGACUCAGGGUGGCAGAUGUCAAGUCCUUCAUUGUUCAAUUUGAGCUCAGAGAAGACUCACAUCCUUGGAUCCCAGACUCUUUGAUGACAGGAAGGCCAAACUAUCUCAAAUGGUUUUCAUGAAGAACUUACAGUGAGCCUACACGGAGUUGUCCAUACACAGAAGAACUGAGACCCCCCAGCCCCUGCCACUAGUGACAGCUCUCACUAACCUCCUG
This 235-nucleotide long non-coding RNA is filed under the name Gorilla gorilla gorilla (western lowland gorilla). RNAcentral describes it as "lncRNA (ENSGGOG00000044433.1)". The record is from RNAcentral. Lineage: Eukaryota; Metazoa; Chordata; Mammalia; Primates; Hominidae.